Egretta garzetta (little egret) is the source of this 98-nucleotide long non-coding RNA. RefSeq lists it as uncharacterized. The record is from RefSeq and is a predicted model, not a curated record. The transcript is spliced from 3 exons. Lineage: Eukaryota; Metazoa; Chordata; Aves; Pelecaniformes; Ardeidae.
GCCACACGCCUCCAUCAGUCCGUUGCUGGGUCUAGCUCUGGCAACUCAGCAGAUUUAUCUCUUGUUUAAAAGCAUGACAUUCCUCUCCGGGAGCCAGC